RNAcentral lists this transfer RNA (61 nucleotides) under Diaphanes mendax. RNAcentral describes it as "tRNA-Cys". Lineage: Eukaryota; Metazoa; Arthropoda; Insecta; Coleoptera; Lampyridae. The record is from RNAcentral.
GAUUUUGUAUUCAAUAAUGAUUUUAAAUUGCAAAUUUAAAGGUGAUUUAAAUCCUGAAUCU